GGGUUGUGAGGUUAAGCGACUAAGCGUACACGGUGGAUGCCCUGGCAGUCAGAGGCGAUGAAGGACGUGCUAAUCUGCGAUAAGCGUCG
Molecule: ribosomal RNA, 89 nt
Filed under: Escherichia coli
Lineage: Bacteria; Pseudomonadati; Pseudomonadota; Gammaproteobacteria; Enterobacterales; Enterobacteriaceae
Also listed under: 1 other name
Description: partial 23S ribosomal RNA
Rfam family: Bacterial large subunit ribosomal RNA (bases 10-89)
Source: RNAcentral